UUUUUCUUGUACCUUUUGCAUCAUGGUUUAGCCAGUAUUUCCAAGCAAAGCGCCCUUUAGUUUGGUACCCCGAAACUAAGUGAGCUACUUCAGGCCAGCCUAAUAACAGGGCCAACCCGUCUCUGUGGCAAAAGAGUGGGAAGAGCCUCAAGUAGAGGUGAAAGAUCUACCGAACUUAGUAAUAGCUGGUUGUCUGGGAAAUGGAUAGAAGUUCAGCCUAUUGACUUCCCCUCAAAUCUAUAGAGUUAGUCAAAGGGGGAACAGCCCCUUUGACAUAAGACACAACUUUUUUAGGAGGAUAAAGAUCAAAAUUAAAUUUAAAGGUAAAACGUUUUGGUGGGCCUAAUAGCAGCCACCCAUUUAAGGAAAGCGUUAAAGCUCGAACACACAAUUCAGAUAAAUAAAUCUUAAACCCCUAACCCUACCAGGCCAUUCUACAAUAUCGUAGAAGGGACAAUGCUAAUAUGAGUAAUAAGAGGUCUCCUCUCCCUGCAUAAGUGUAAAUCGGAACGGAACAGCCACCGAAACUUAACGGCCCCAAACAUAGAGGGCAUUGAACUAAUCCAAGAAAACAUUUCACCGUUAACCCCACACUGGAAUGCCCUAAGGGAAAGACUAAAAGAAAAAGAAGGAACUCGGCAAACAAGCCUCGCCUGUUUACCAAAAACAUCGCCUCUUGCAAGAAUAAGAGGUCCCGCCUGCCCAGUGACUUUAUGUUAAACGGCCGCGGUAUUCUGACCGUGCCAAGGUAGCGCAAUCACUUGCCCUUUAAAUGGGGGCCCGUAUGAAUGGCAUCACGAGGGCUAAUCUGUCUCCUUUUUCAGGUCAGUGAAAUUGAUCUCUCCGUGCAGAAGCGGGGAUAUUUACAUAAGACGAGAAGACCCUGUGGAGCUUUAGAUUUUAAGACUGACCCUGUCCCCGCCCUAAAAACAUGGGCCAAAUUAUGGAAUACAGUCCGAUUAUCUUUGGUUGGGGCGACCGCGGGGAUUAAUAAAACCCCCACGUAGACCGGGAGCACACCCAAAACCAAGAGUUACCACUCUAAUAAACAGAACCUCUGACUUUAAUGUGAUCCGACAAAGUCGAUCAACGAACCGAGUUACCCCAGGGAUAACAGCGCAAUCCCCUUUAAGAGUUCACAUCGACAAGGGGGUUUACGACCUCGAUGU
RNAcentral lists this ribosomal RNA (1169 nucleotides) under Scolopsis bilineata (two-lined monocle bream). Its description in RNAcentral is "partial 16S ribosomal RNA". It matches the Rfam family "Bacterial large subunit ribosomal RNA", at positions 593 to 2532 of the family's 2925-position model. The record is from RNAcentral. Lineage: Eukaryota; Metazoa; Chordata; Actinopteri; Spariformes; Nemipteridae.